RNAcentral lists this ribosomal RNA (610 nucleotides) under Glomus sp. ZJ. Its description in RNAcentral is "SSU rRNA". It matches the Rfam family "Eukaryotic small subunit ribosomal RNA", at positions 647 to 1255 of the family's 1831-position model. The record is from RNAcentral. Lineage: Eukaryota; Fungi; Glomeromycota; Glomeromycetes; Glomerales; Glomeraceae.
GGAUCAAUAUAUCGGUCGUGCCUCUGGUUCGUACUGGUAUCAUUGAUUUCUCCUUUCUGACGAACCAUGAUGUCAUUAAUUUGGUGUUAUGGGGAGUUAGGACUGUUACUUUGAAAAAAUUAGAGUGUUUAAAGCAGGCAUUAGCUUGAAUACAUUAGCAUGGAAUAAUGAAAUAGGACGUUUGACCCUAUUUUGUUGGUUUCUAGGAUCGACGUAAUGAUUAAUAGGGAUAGUUGGGGGCAUUAGUAUUCAAUUGUCAGAGGUGAAAUUCUUGGAUUUAUUGAAGACUAACUACUGCGAAAGCAUUUACCAAGGAUGUUUUCAUUAAUCAAGAACGAAAGUUAGGGGAUCGAAGACGAUCAGAUACCGUCGUAGUCUUAACCAUAAACUAUGCCGACUAGGGAUCGGAUGAUGUUAAUUUUAUAAUGGCUCAUUCGGCGCCUUACGGGAAACCAAAGUGUUUGGGUUCCGGGGGGAGUAUGGUCGCAAGGCUGAAACUUAAAGGAAUUGACGGAAGGGCACCACCAGGGGUGGAGCCUGCGGCUUAAUUUGACUCAACACGGGGAAACUCACCAGGUCCAGACAUAGUAAGGAUUGACAGAUUGAGAGC